This 574-nucleotide ribosomal RNA is filed under the name Mylodon darwinii. Its description in RNAcentral is "12S ribosomal RNA". It matches the Rfam family "Bacterial small subunit ribosomal RNA", at positions 524 to 1384 of the family's 1533-position model. The record is from RNAcentral. Lineage: Eukaryota; Metazoa; Chordata; Mammalia; Pilosa; Mylodontidae.
UACGAUUAACCCAAAUUAAUAUUCACCGGCGUAAAACGUGUUUAAGGAAAUCGAACAAAUAAAGCUAAACCAAGACUAAGCCGUAAAAAGCUACAGUCAAAAUAAAAUAAACAACGAAAGUGGCUUUAACAAACCCGAACACACGAUAGCUAAGACCCAAACUGGGAUUAGAUACCCCACUAUGCUUAGCCCUAAACCAAGACAUUUGACAAACUAAAAUGUUCGCCAGAGUACUACUAGCAACAGCCUAAAACUUAAAGGACUUGGCGGUGCUUCACACCCCCCUAGAGGAACCUGUCCUAUAAUCGACAAACCCCGAUAGACCUCACCACCCCUCGCCAAUGCAGCCUAUAUACCGCCAUCCUCAGCAAACCUUGGAGAGUACCACAGUAAGCACAAUCAUCAUUCGUAAGUACGUUAGGUCAAGGUGUAGCCCAUGGGGUGGAAAGAGAUGGGUUACAUUUUCUUACAAAAGAAAAUCAACGGAAGUUUCCAUGAAACCCUAGAAACCGAAGGAGGAUUUAGAAGUAACCUGAGAAUAGAGCGCUCAGUUGAACCAGGCCAUGAAGCACGC